CGCACACCUGCCCAGCUUGACUGGACCUACACGGCAAAGGGGCCUAUGCACGCAGUCACUGUGGCCAGUGUCCCCAGGAUGUAAAGCAGGGCCCAGAAGAGACCCGACUCGGCUUCCUGUCCCCCUCCAGUAAGCUGUGGAGCUCUCUGUGAUACGAAGUGCUGGUAGUAACGAAACGGAAUCUACAUCCGACAUCUGGCUGCCUAAAAGUUAUGCCUUUCAGGUUCUGCAAGACAGAGCUCACAGAAGGAUUUUAUUCCCAUAUAUUCACAUGCAAAAACCUGGCGUGCAGCUAAAAAAGAAAAUAUUACCACCAUGCACCAGAAUGUUCUGAAAGUUAUCUCAGAAGUGUGGUUUGAACUCCGAUCUGGCCUCUGCCGCAUCUCUCUUCAUGUGAGGCUACUUUCUCCAGCUGUCACUGCAAGCCAGCCCUGGUCUGUCCAUGUCUAAACACCCAACACUCUUCCCGCCUCACACGCUUCCCUUAGUCUUGGACAUUCCCUGGCGUCUCUGGAGAGCUGAUACUUUGGUGCUCAGCAUAAACGGGAGGCUUUGUCUAGCCGUGGUAUUGAACCAGGGAGGAGGAACACAAGAAGUGUUGCCUGCCUUUAUCCUCACAAGAAAACCAGUCAGGAGACAGGCCUUGCUCCCGUGA
This 655-nucleotide long non-coding RNA is filed under the name Chinchilla lanigera (long-tailed chinchilla). RNAcentral's name for it is "lncRNA (ENSCLAG00000026537.1)". Lineage: Eukaryota; Metazoa; Chordata; Mammalia; Rodentia; Chinchillidae. The record is from RNAcentral.